This 465-nucleotide ribosomal RNA is filed under the name uncultured bacterium. RNAcentral describes it as "partial 16S ribosomal RNA". It matches the Rfam family "Bacterial small subunit ribosomal RNA", at positions 339 to 795 of the family's 1533-position model. The record is from RNAcentral.
CUACGGGGGGCAGCAGUGGGGAAUAUUGGACAAUGGGGGAAACCCUGAUCCAGCAAUGCCGCGUGUGUGAAGAAGGCCUGCGGGCUGUAAAGCACUUUCGGUUGGGAGGACUGCUUCUAGCACUAAUAUUGUUGGAAGUUGACGUUACCUUCAGAAGAAGCACCGGCUAACUCCGUGCCAGCAGCCGCGGUAAUACGGAGGGUGCAAGCGUUAAUCGGAAUUACUGGGCGUAAAGCGCGCGUAGGCGGCUAGAUCAGUCGGGUGUGAAAGCCCCGGGCUUAACCUGGGAACUGCAUCCGAUACUGUCUAGCUUGAGUACAGGAGAGGAGAGUGGAAUUCCACAUGUAGCGGUGAAAUGCGUAAAUAUGUGGAGGAACACCAAUGGCGAAGGCAGCUCUCUGGCCUGAUACUGACGCUGAGGCGCGAAAGCGUGGGGAGCAAACAGGAUUAGAUACCCGGGUAGUC